RNAcentral lists this ribosomal RNA (400 nucleotides) under uncultured bacterium. Its description in RNAcentral is "partial 16S ribosomal RNA". It matches the Rfam family "Archaeal small subunit ribosomal RNA", at positions 473 to 873 of the family's 1478-position model. The record is from RNAcentral.
AUACCCGCAGCCCAAGUGGUGGUCGAUUUUAUUGAGUCUAAAACGUUCGUAGCCGGUUCAUUAAAUCCUUGGGUAAAUCGGAUGGCUUAACUAUCCGAAUUCCGGGGAGACUGGUGAACUUGGGACCGGGAGAGGCAAGAGGUACUUUUGGGGUAGGGGUGAAAUCCUGUAAUCCUAAAAGGACCACCGGUAGCGAAGGCGUCUUGCUAGAACGGAUCCGACGGUGAGGGACGAAGCCCUGGGUCGCAAACGGGAUUAGAUACCCCGGUAGUCCAGGGUGUAAACGCUGCAGACUUGGUGUUGGGGACCCUUCGGGGGUGUUCAGUGCCGGAGAGAAGUUGUUAAGUCUGCUACUUGGGGAGUACGUCCGCAAGGAUGAAACUCAAAGGAAUUGACGGGG